GACGAACCGUGCGAACGUUAUUCGGAAUCACUGGGCUUAAAGGGCGCGUAGGCGGGCUGACAAGUCUGGGGUGAAAUACCACGGCUCAACCGUGGAACUGCCUUAGAUACUGUCGGCCUCGAGGGAGGUAGGGGCGUGCGGAACUGUAGGUGGAGCGGUGAAAUGCGUUGAUAUCUACAGGAACUCCGGUGGCGAAAGCGGCGCGCUGGACCUCUUCUGACGCUGAGGCGCGAAAGCUAGGGGAGCAAACGGG
RNAcentral lists this ribosomal RNA (253 nucleotides) under uncultured bacterium. RNAcentral describes it as "partial 16S ribosomal RNA". It matches the Rfam family "Bacterial small subunit ribosomal RNA", at positions 524 to 776 of the family's 1533-position model. The record is from RNAcentral.